GGCCUACCAUGGUGGUAACGGGUAACGGGGUGUUAGGGCACGACACCGGAGAGGGAGCCUGAGAAACGGCUACCACAUCCAAGGAUGGCAGCAGGCGCGCAAAUUACCCAAUCCCGACACGGGGAGGUAGUGACAAUAAAUAACAAUACGGGGUUCUUAUGGAUCUCGUAAUUGGAAUGAGUACAAUUUAAAUCUCUUAACGAGGAACAAUUGGAGGGCAAGUCUGGUGCCAGCAGCCGCGGUAAUUCCAGCUCCAAUAGCGUAUAUUAAAGUUGUUGCAGUUAAAAAGCUCGUAGUUGAAUUUCGGGGUCAGUAGGUUGGUCAUGCCACUGGUAUGUACUGGUCUCACUGAUUCCUCCUUCCUGAUGAACUGUAAUGCCAUUAAUUUGGUGUUGCAGGGAAUCUGGACUGUUACUUUGAAAAAAUUAGAGUGUUUAAAGCAGGCUAACGCCUGAAUACAUUAGCAUGGAAUAAUGAAAUAGGACGUUCGAUCCUAUUUUGUUGGUUUCUAGGAUUGACGUAAUGAUUAAUAGGGAUAGUUGGGGGCAUUAGUAUUCAAUUGUCAGAGGUGAAAUUCUUGGAUUUAUUGAAGACUAACUACUGCGAAAGCAUUUGCCAAGGAUGUUUUCAUUAAUCAAGAACGAAAGUUAGGGGAUCGGAGACGAUCAGAUACCGUCGUAGUCUUAACCAUAAACUAUGCCGACUAGGGAUCGGAUGAUGUUAAUUUUUUAAUGACCCAUUCGGCGCCUUACG
Molecule: ribosomal RNA, 753 nt
Filed under: uncultured Glomus
Lineage: Eukaryota; Fungi; Glomeromycota; Glomeromycetes; Glomerales; Glomeraceae
Description: SSU rRNA
Rfam family: Eukaryotic small subunit ribosomal RNA
Source: RNAcentral